CAUUGCCUGCCUGAUUCGUGAAUUGUGCCAAUAUAACCCUACAACUUAUUCUUCGGGAGUCCUCCUCCCUUGACGGAUUGCAGACCUCCCAUUUCGGUGGAUGAAGGGAGCGUGAAAGCAAGGGGAGACACCCACCUGUCUUUUAGUAGGCAGGUUAUAAUUGCACGAUACGGUCAGGCGGGUUUUUU
Molecule: non-coding RNA, 188 nt
Filed under: Ruminococcus sp. zg-924
Lineage: Bacteria; Bacillati; Bacillota; Clostridia; Eubacteriales; Oscillospiraceae
Also listed under: 1 other name
Description: 6S RNA
Rfam family: 6S / SsrS RNA
About the family: E. coli 6S RNA was the first non coding RNA to be sequenced, but its function was unknown until recently. It consists of 184 nucleotides that fold into an extended hairpin structure with a large single-stranded internal bulge.
Source: RNAcentral